UCCUUGAUGCCACCUGUGCUCUCUGC
Molecule: non-coding RNA, 26 nt
Filed under: Rattus norvegicus (Norway rat)
Lineage: Eukaryota; Metazoa; Chordata; Mammalia; Rodentia; Muridae
Source: RNAcentral